GGUCUCAUGGUGUAAUGGUUAGCACUCUGGACUCUGAAUCCAGGGAACCGAGUUCAAAUCUCGGUGAGACCU
Molecule: transfer RNA, 72 nt
Filed under: Rhipicephalus microplus (southern cattle tick)
Lineage: Eukaryota; Metazoa; Arthropoda; Arachnida; Ixodida; Ixodidae
Description: tRNA-Gln
Rfam family: tRNA
About the family: Transfer RNA (tRNA) molecules are approximately 80 nucleotides in length.
Source: Rfam by way of RNAcentral